UUUUUUUUUUUUUUUUUUUGGCACAGGUGGACCAAGGGGGGGGGGGGUGUGACUGUGGGCACCGUGCGCGGAGGCGGGGGCUCAUCUGGUUCCCGCCCUCCGUGCCGCUGGAUGCCCCAGGAUUUUCUCCAACCGGGGUCCCGGCUUGGAGCCCUCCUUGGCUGCGAGCUUCGGCGCAGCCAUGGGGAAAGCGGGAAUGGGUCUCGCCCUUGUGGCUGCCUGGUGGAAGCGGCGGUUUUGACACACGAACAGUCGUGGGGAGCAGAUCCAGAGAGGGUGCAUUUGCAAUAAUAACGCUUAGUUUAUCUCUGCCAGAGGGGCGGGAACAGGCCUUCGCGCUGGUGUCUUACAUCAGCCAAGCAAACCAUGGGCGCGAUCGGAGCUAACCACCUCCAGCGGGGUUUUGCUCCAGACUUAAGGUGCGCGGAAACCGGAGCACUCAGCCCUUCGCGGGUGCCUCCCGAAAACCUCGCCAUGCCAGUGACACGACUGCGAACGGCGGGUGGCACAUGCCGGGGGCUUGGGAUGGGAGGGUUUGGAAACCUCGCUCCAAGGACGCCCUCAUCCAAGGAGCUUCGGCUCCUUCCUAGAAUUUCUAGAAGCACUUUUGGAGGGACCGAGGGCUUCCGGCCGGGCCCAGAGGAAUUUGAGCGCUUGCCCGGGCAGGCAGAAGCGCAGCCUGGGAGUGGAGAGGCUGCUGGGCCACAUUCCGGCCGAGCUUCCCCCGCUAGGCCCCAGCCCCGCCGCGGCGCCCCAGGAAGCACCUCCGAAAACAAAGCGCUGUGGUUUCAGCCCAAGGUUAAAGUCCACCGCGAGCGUGUUUUUUCCCCCCUCCGGAAUCUUAAGAGCGAUAGCGUUUCUCCAAAUAAACCGCCAAUAAAUCAGCUCCCGGGGGCGCCUGCUGAAGAGCUCUGGUGACCUUGGAGGAUGGUUUUUCUGCCUGA
RNAcentral lists this long non-coding RNA (944 nucleotides) under Pongo abelii (Sumatran orangutan). RNAcentral's name for it is "lincRNA". Lineage: Eukaryota; Metazoa; Chordata; Mammalia; Primates; Hominidae. The record is from RNAcentral.